AGGACGAACGCUGGCGGCGUGCUUAACACAUGCAAGUCGAGCGGAAAGGCCCUUCGGGGUACUCGAGCGGCGAACGGGUGAGUACCACGUGAGCAACCUGCCCCGAAGACUGGGACAACACCGGGAAACCGGUGCUAAUACCGGAUAUCCCUAUCGGAUCGCAUGAUCUGAUAGGGAAAUGGAUUCCGCUUCGGGAGGGGCUCGCGGCCUAUCAGCUAGUUGGUGAGGUAAUAGCUCACCAAGGCAUCGACGGGUAGCUGGUCUGAGAGGACGAUCAGCCACACUGGGACUGAGACACGGCCCAGACUCCUACGGGAGGCAGCAGUGGGGAAUCUUGCGCAAUGGGCGAAAGCCUGACGCAGCAACGCCGCGUGGAGGACGAAUGCUUUCUGAGUUGUAAACUCCUUUCAGCAGGGACGAUUGUGACGGUACCUGCAGAAGAAGCACCGGCAACUACGCGCCAGCAGCCGCGGU
Molecule: ribosomal RNA, 474 nt
Filed under: uncultured bacterium
Lineage: Bacteria
Description: SSU rRNA
Rfam family: Bacterial small subunit ribosomal RNA
Source: RNAcentral